UGGGGAAUAUUGCACAAUGGGCGCAAGCCUGAUGCAGCCAUGCCGCGUGUAUGAAGAAGGCCUUCGGGUUGUAAAGUACUUUCAGCGGGGAGGAAGGGAGUAAAGUUAAUACCUUUGCUCAUUGACGUUACCCGCAGAAGAAGCACCGGCUAACUUCGUGCCAGCAGCCGCGGUAAUACGGAGGGUGCAAGCGUUAAUCGGAAUUACUGGGCGUAAAGCGCACGCAGGCGGUUUGUUAAGUCAGAUGUGAAAUCCCCGGGCUCAACCUGGGAACUACAUCUGAUACUGGCUAGCUUGAGUCUCGUAGAGGGGGGUAGAAUUCCAGGUGUAGCGGUGAAAUGCGUAGAGAUCUGGAGGAAUACCGGUGGCGAAGGCGGCCCCCUGGACGAAGACUGACGCUCAGGUGCGAAAGCGUGGGGAGCAAACAGG
Molecule: ribosomal RNA, 429 nt
Filed under: Chloroflexota bacterium
Lineage: Bacteria; Bacillati; Chloroflexota
Description: Chloroflexi bacterium partial 16S ribosomal RNA
Rfam family: Bacterial small subunit ribosomal RNA
Source: RNAcentral